RNAcentral lists this unclassified non-coding RNA (656 nucleotides) under Hevea brasiliensis (rubber tree). The record is from RNAcentral. Lineage: Eukaryota; Viridiplantae; Streptophyta; Magnoliopsida; Malpighiales; Euphorbiaceae.
ACGGAAAAAAAACGACCCUUAACAAUAAUGGCAUUACUCAAAUGAAUUGUUAGAAUUGGUAAUGAAUUGAAAUGCUUAUGCAACCAUUUUGAACAACUCAAGCAAUACAGCAAAAGACAGAUCUAAUAUUACCAAAUAAAAUUGAAAAUCCAAGCUUAAAUAAAAAAAAUAACUUAUCGGAAAAUGGAUUUUUUUUUUUUUCACAUGAAUCAAAAACCAUUUCAUUCCCACCUUACUCAUAAAGCUAUGACCAACUCUAAUAGUGCAGAUUCUUAACACUAGAAGCAACAUCAAGCUAAGAAAAAAGGCAAAACAGUUAUUCAAAAUCAUGCUUCUUAUAAUUAUCAUGUAUAUCGACACCAUAUUUUGGCCGAUCACCAAAAUCAAUGAACUUUGAAAAUCGACCCUCAACUGACAUUCCUCGGUUACAAGUAACCUGAUUAGGAAAUAAGCCGAUCCCGCAUCUAGUCGAAUGUUUUCCUAUCUCUCAACAAAGAAGGUCACACCAAUAUCAGGUCCCCACGCAGUUCAAUCACAUUUCCGAUCUCCCAAGGAGAUCACAUUAAUAUCAAGUCUCCAUGACAUACGAUUCAUUCCCGAUCUCUCAAACCAAUUACCAAGUAUCCUUGCCAGUCAAUCACAUUUUCGAUCUCUCG